GGGCCCGCACAAGCGGUGGAGCAUGUGGUUUAAUUCGAUGCAACGCGAAGAACCUUACCAGGGUUUGACAUCCUGCGAACUUUUUAGAGAUAGAAAGGUGCCUUCGGGAACGCAGUGACAGGUGCUGCAUGGCUGUCGUCAGCUCGUGUUGUGAAAUGUUGGGUUAAGUCCCGUAACGAGCGCAACCCUUGUCCUUAUUUGCCAGCACGUAAUGGUGGGAACUCUAAGGAGACUGCCGGUGACAAACCGGAGGAAGGUGGGGACGACGUCAAGUCAUCAUGGCCCUUACGACCAGGGCUACACACGUGCUACAAUGGGGCGUACAGAGGGUUGCGAAGCCGCGAGGUGGAGCC
RNAcentral lists this ribosomal RNA (353 nucleotides) under uncultured bacterium. RNAcentral describes it as "bacterial SSU rRNA". It matches the Rfam family "Bacterial small subunit ribosomal RNA", at positions 917 to 1269 of the family's 1533-position model. The record is from RNAcentral.